GAUGAACGCUGGCGGCGUGCCUAAUACAUGCAAGUCGAGCGAACAGACGAGGAGCUUGCUCCUCUGACGUUAGCGGCGGACGGGUGAGUAACACGUGGAUAACCUACCUAUAAGACUGGGAUAACUUCGGGAAACCGGAGCUAAUACCGGAUAAUAUAUUGAACCGCAUGGUUCAAUAGUGAAAGACGGUUUUGCUGUCACUUAUAGAUGGAUCCGCGCCGCAUUAGCUAGUUGGUAAGGUAAAGGCUUACCAAGGCAACGAUGCGUAGCCGACCUGAGAGGGUGAUCGGCCACACUGGAACUGAGACACGGUCCAGACUCCUACGGGAGGCAGCAGUAGGGAAUCUUCCGCAAUGGACGAAAGCCUGACGGAGCAACGCCGCGUGAGUGAUGAAGGUCUUCGGAUCGUAAAACUCUGUUAUUAGGGAAGAACAAAUGUUUAAGUAACUAUACACGUCUUGACGGUACCUAAUCAGAAAGCCACGGCUAACUACGUG
Molecule: ribosomal RNA, 497 nt
Filed under: uncultured bacterium
Lineage: Bacteria
Description: partial 16S ribosomal RNA
Rfam family: Bacterial small subunit ribosomal RNA
Source: RNAcentral